UGGGGAAUCUUGGACAAUGGGCGCAAGCCUGAUCCAGCCAUGCCGCGUGCGGGAAGAAGGCCUUCGGGUUGUAAACCGCUUUUGUCAGGGAAGAAAUCUUCUGAGUUAAUACCUCGGGAGGAUGACGGUACCUGAAGAAUAAGCACCGGCUAACUACGUGCCAGCAGCCGCGGUAAUACGUAGGGUGCAAGCGUUAAUCGGAAUUACUGGGCGUAAAGCGUGCGCAGGCGGUUUUGUAAGACAGAGGUGAAAUCCCCGGGCUCAACCUGGGAACUGCCUUUGUGACUGCAAGGCUUGAGUGCGGCAGAGGGGGGAUGGAAUUCCGCGUGUAGCAGUGAAAUGCGUAGAUAUGCGGAGGAAACACCGAUGGCGAAGACAAUCCCCCUGGGGCCUGCACUGACGCUCAUGCACGAAAGCGUGGGGAGCAAACAGGAUUAGAUACCCUGGUAGUCCACGCCCUAAAACGAUGUCAACUGGUUGUU
This 482-nucleotide ribosomal RNA is filed under the name uncultured bacterium. RNAcentral describes it as "partial 16S ribosomal RNA". It matches the Rfam family "Bacterial small subunit ribosomal RNA", at positions 355 to 824 of the family's 1533-position model. The record is from RNAcentral.